GAUGAACGCUAGCUACAGGCUUAACACAUGCAAGUCGAGGGGCAGCAUGGUCUUAGCUUGCUAAGGCCGAUGGCGACCGGCGCACGGGUGAGUAACACGUAUCCAACCUGCCGUCUACUCUUGGACAGCCUUCUGAAAGGAAGAUUAAUACAAGAUGGCAUCAUGAGUCCGCAUGUUCACAUGAUUAAAGGUAUUCCGGUAGACGAUGGGGAUGCGUUCCAUUAGAUAGUAGGCGGGGUAACGGCCCACCGAGUCUUCGAUGGAGAGGGGUUCUGAGGGGAAGGCACCCCAGAUUGGAAACGAGAUACGGACCAAACUCGUACGGGAGGCAGCAGUGAGGAAGAUUGGGCAAGGGGGGAGGGCCUGAACCAGCCAAGUAGCGUGAAGGACGACUGCCCUAUGGGUUGUAAACUUCUUGGAUAAAGGAAUAAAGUCGGGUAUGGAUACCCGUUUGCAUGUACUUUAUGAAUAAGGAUCGGCUAACUCCGUG
RNAcentral lists this ribosomal RNA (490 nucleotides) under uncultured bacterium. RNAcentral's name for it is "partial 16S ribosomal RNA". It matches the Rfam family "Bacterial small subunit ribosomal RNA", at positions 28 to 507 of the family's 1533-position model. The record is from RNAcentral.